Molecule: ribosomal RNA, 1325 nt
Filed under: metagenome
Description: bacterial SSU rRNA
Rfam family: Bacterial small subunit ribosomal RNA
Source: RNAcentral
AUACGCCCUGAGGGGGAAAGCAGGGGAUCGUAAGACCUUGCGUUAUUCGAGCGGCCGACGUCUGAUUAGCUAGUUGGUGGGGUAAAGGCCUACCAAGGCGACGAUCAGUAGCGGGUCUGAGAGGAUGAUCCGCCACACUGGAACUGAGACACGGUCCAGACUCCUACGGGAGGCAGCAGUGGGGAAUUUUGGACAAUGGGGGCAACCCUGAUCCAGCCAUUCCGCGUGAGUGAAGAAGGCCUUCGGGUUGUAAAGCUCUUUCAGCUGGAACGAAACGGUACGCUCUAACAUAGCGUGCUAAUGACGGUACCAGCAGAAGAAGCACCGGCUAACUACGUGCCAGCAGCCGCGGUAAUACGUAGGGUGCGAGCGUUAAUCGGAAUUACUGGGCGUAAAGCGUGCGCAGGCGGAUUGUUAAGCAAGACGUGAAAUCCCCGGGCUUAACCUGGGAAUGGCGUUUUGAACUGGCAGUCUAGAGUGUGUCAGAGGGGGGUAGAAUUCCACGUGUAGCAGUGAAAUGCGUAGAGAUGUGGAGGAAUACCGAUGGCGAAGGCAGCCCCCUGGGAUAACACUGACGCUCAUGUACGAAAGCGUGGGUAGCAAACAGGAUUAGAUACCCUGGUAGUCCACGCCCUAAACGAUGUCAACUGGUUGUUGGGGGAGUGAAAUCCCUUAGUACGAAGCUAACGCGUGAAGUUGACCGCCUGGGGAGUACGGUCGCAAGAUUAAAACUCAAAGGAAUUGACGGGGACCCGCACAAGCGGUGGAUGAUGUGGAUUAAUUCGAUGCAACGCGAAAAACCUUACCUACCCUUGACAUGUCCAGAAUCCUGCAGAGAUGCGGGAGUGCCCGAAAGGGAAUUGGAACACAGGUGCUGCAUGGCUGUCGUCAGCUCGUGUCGUGAGAUGUUGGGUUAAGUCCCGCAACGAGCGCAACCCUUAUCAUUAGUUGCUACGCAAGGGCACUCUAAUGAGACUGCCGGUGACAAACCGGAGGAAGGUGGGGAUGACGCCAAGUCCUCAUGGCCCUUAUGGGUAGGGCUUCACACGUCAUACAAUGGUCGGUACAGAGGGCUGCCAAGCCGCGAGGUGGGGCCAAUCCCAGAAAGCCGAUCGUAGUCCGGAUUGUUCUCUGCAACUCGAGAGCAUGAAGUCGGAAUCGCUAGUAAUCGCGGAUCAGCAUGUCGCGGUGAAUACGUCCCCGGGUCUUGUACACACCGCCCGUCACACCAUGGGAGUGGAAUCUGCCAGAAGUAGGUAGCCUAACCGCAAGGAGGGCGCUUACCACGGUGGGUUUCAUGACUGGGGUGAAGUCGGAACAAGGUA